RNAcentral lists this unclassified non-coding RNA (452 nucleotides) under Hevea brasiliensis (rubber tree). Lineage: Eukaryota; Viridiplantae; Streptophyta; Magnoliopsida; Malpighiales; Euphorbiaceae. The record is from RNAcentral.
AGCAAAUGUUAGCUAAAAAGAGACUGAGCAAUAAGAUCAACUACGAUGUGCUAGAGAAGCUUUUUGAUGAUUCUGCACCUGAGAACCCAAAGAAAGCUCGAACUGCAUACGAUUCAACAGAUGAUUAUGGGGUAAAGAGCGACAAAAUUGAUCCAGAAGUAGAUGAGAAUUAUGACGACACAUUUGGUGAGGAUUUCCAUUCCGGUGAGGAUGUUGGAGGAUAUGGCUAUGAUCAAGACUAUGAUUUGGAUGAUUAUUGAAUUAAUCUGCCUUCCCCUUUGAGAAACAGAGGACACAAGAUGUGUAUUAGGAACUGUUGGGGUGGCUAACUGCAUCUGAAAGUUAUUUUCUUUUUAAUUAUCAUUGAUUAAUUUAUUUGCUGGAACACUUCCCAUUGCUGGAAUGUUAAAAAGUGUAUCAGCUUUUGGAAUGUUAAAAAGUGUAUCAGCUUU